UUUGGAUCUUCUGUAGGCAUAUUCGUUCUAGUAAUGGUAGGCCGGUUUGGAAAAUAUCCUGCAAAAUCGUAUUGACCAAAGUUUACAGCAGCAUGGUGUCCUGAAGCUACCCAAAUAAUGGUUGUGAGGAUUCCUAUUAGAUCACCCGGAGUUUCUAACACCGGCCACCAGGACUCGUCCUUCUUGUCUGCAUGGCCUUUUGUUCGAAUUUCAGUCCACCAUUCUUGGAGUUCAACGUCAGAUUGUACAAGGUUUGCUUCUGGAUAGUAGUAAGUGACAUAGUCUGUAACCCAUUUCUUAAUGGCAUCCCAAAUAAGUAAACCAUCGUUGGCAUAAGGAUAAUCUUCGAUUGCUAGUUUCAAGCCAUGUGGAGCUGCCGGAUCCUCCACCGCCAUUCCCCUGCGCAUUCCAGUAGUAAAAAUAUUCAGAUCUGCUUACAAUCUUACAUAUUGCAGACUAAAUUUCAAUAAAUAACGUUACUCUUUUCUAUAAGCUAUGAGGUGGUUCAUCAUCGUACCUGCUAAUUAGAUCAGCUGGCAGUGCUUGAAGAUCAAACUGCCAUAGCUGGUCGUAGGCAGCAGAGCUGACCUCCAAUGAGUAUUUCCGGGGGGUGAAUCCCUUCUCGAUGACUCCAUUUGCAUUAAUAAGAGCCUCACGAGCUAAAGCAUUGAUCUCCAUAGUGUAUCGCAAAUGAGGAUGUAAUAGUUUGUAAACCGGGUGCAUCGCACUUAGUUGUCGAUUUGUUGCAAUUACGUAAGGCUCCGUACAACAAU
RNAcentral lists this long non-coding RNA (773 nucleotides) under Olea europaea (common olive). RNAcentral describes it as "long non-coding RNA (OEUR_LNC001439)". Lineage: Eukaryota; Viridiplantae; Streptophyta; Magnoliopsida; Lamiales; Oleaceae. The record is from RNAcentral.